Molecule: long non-coding RNA, 299 nt
Organism: Corvus hawaiiensis (hawaiian crow)
Lineage: Eukaryota; Metazoa; Chordata; Aves; Passeriformes; Corvidae
Exons: 3
Source: RefSeq, a predicted model, not a curated record
ACGUUCCCGGGCUAUCGGAGGACCUUCCCCACCCCUCCCCCCCUCCCUUCUCCAUGGCCCUCCCCCUCCUCAUCCUCACCCUGGUGCUCCUGGGAUUGGGGGAUGGGCACCAGGACCCCCCCUCAAGGCACGAGCACCCCUCUCACCUUUAUGGAGACCCCAAAAGUUGGCAGGAAAGCCCCAAAAACCGCCCGGAUCCGGCCGGGGUGUGGCUGCAGACGAUGGGGGCGGCGCUGGGGGUGUCGCUGGCCCCCAGCUGGUGCUGCUCCUGGUGCCGGCCGAUUCGGGCUCCCCCAAAC